ACAACCUAAUAGUAUUGAAACAGUGAAUGUAACAUAAUACAAGUGAAAAUAUCGUAAAAUGCAAGGCACAGAAUGAAAUUUAUACCAAUCUUUGUUUCAACAUUCUCUAAAAGUUAUUACAAACAGAAGACAUUGUACCACUAUUGAGAUAUGUAUAAUUGUAUGUGCUGGACUAGGUUAGCUGCGUAGUAGUGAUACAUGUGAUAUCAGUGUGGAAGUAUGUGUGUGCGCGGCGUCUCGAAAACAAAUGAAUGUAAACUGUCCAGUUAACAGUCUGCUAUGGAAGAAGGUGAGACGCGUAUACAUAAAAAAUACGUUAGAAACUGGUGAAAAAAGCGAACAUAUCCCAAGAUGGACGACAAGAUCGCACGCCAUAUCCCCGAGCGACGAAUGACACAUCCCCUGAAAGGCAUGCUCUUCCAAUCCGUUGUAGCGACCCCUUAAACCGAACUGAAUUGAACGGAACACCACCCCU
This 475-nucleotide unclassified non-coding RNA is filed under the name Bombus terrestris (buff-tailed bumblebee). Its description in RNAcentral is "misc RNA ENSBTSG00005023088.1". The record is from RNAcentral. Lineage: Eukaryota; Metazoa; Arthropoda; Insecta; Hymenoptera; Apidae.